GCACUACGGUGCUGAAGUGACAAAUGCCCUGCUUCCAGGAAAAGCCUCUAAGCAUCAGGUAACAUCAAAUCGUACCCCAAACCGACACAGGUGGUCAGGUAGAGAAUACCAAGGCGCUUGAGAGAACUCGGGUGAAGGAACUAGGCAAAAUGGUGCCGUAACUUCGGGAGAAGGCACGCUGAUAUGUAGGUGAAGCGACUUGCUCGUGGAGCUGAAAUCAGUCGAAGAUACCAGCUGGCUGCAACUGUUUAUUAAAAACACAGCACUGUGCAAACACGAAAGUGGACGUAUACGGUGUGACGCCUGCCCGGUGCCGGAAGGUUAAUUGAUGGGGUUAGCGGUAACGCGAAGCUCUUGAUCGAAGCCCCGGUAAACGGCGGCCGUAACUAUAACGGUCCUAAGGUAGCGAAAUUCCUUGUCGGGUAAGUUCCGACCUGCACGAAUGGCGUAAUGAUGGCCAGGCUGUCUCCACCCGAGACUCAGUGAAAUUGAACUCGCUGUGAAGAUGCAGUGUACCCGCGGCAAGACGGAAAGACCCCGUGAACCUUUACUAUAGCUUGACACUGAACAUUGAGCCUUGAUGUGUAGGAUAGGUGGGAGGCUUUGAAGUGUGGACGCCAGUCUGCAUGGAGCCGACCUUGAAAUACCACCCUUUAAUGUUUGAUGUUCUAACGUUGGCCCGUAAUCCGGGUUGCGGACAGUGUCUGGUGGGUAGUUUGACUGGGGCGGUCUCCUCCUAAAGAGUAACGGAGGAGCACGAAGGUUGGCUAAUCCUGGUCGGACAUCAGGAGGUUAGUGCAAUGGCAUAAGCCAGCUUGACUGCGAGCGUGACGGCGCGAGCAGGUGCGAAAGCAGGUCAUAGUGAUCCGGUGGUUCUGAAUGGAAGGGCCAUCGCUCAACGGAUAAAAGGUACUCCGGGGAUAACAGGCUGAUACCGCCCAAGAGUUCAUAUCGACGGCGGUGUUUGGCACCUCGAUGUCGGCUCAUCACAUCCUGGGGCUGAAGUAGGUCCCAAGGGUAUGGCUGUUCGCCAUUUAAAGUGGUACGCGAGCUGGGUUUAGAACGUCGUGAGACAGUUCGGUCCCUAUCUGCCGUGGGCGCUGGAGAACUGAGGGGGGCUGCUCCUAGUACGAGAGGACCGGAGUGGACGCAUCACUGGUGUUCGGGUUGUCAUGCCAAUGGCACUGCCCGGUAGCUAAAUGCGGAAGAGAUAAGUGCUGAAAGCAUCUAAGCACGAAACUUGCCCCGAGAUGAGUUCUCCCUGAGACUUAGAGUCUCCUGAAGGAACGUUGAAGACGACGACGUUGAUAGGCCGGGUGUGUAAGCGCAGCGAUGCGUUGAGCUAACCGGUACUAAUGAACCGUGAGGCUUAACCUUACAACGCCGAAG
This 1389-nucleotide ribosomal RNA is filed under the name Escherichia coli. Its description in RNAcentral is "partial 23S ribosomal RNA". It matches the Rfam family "Bacterial large subunit ribosomal RNA", at positions 1574 to 2925 of the family's 2925-position model. Lineage: Bacteria; Pseudomonadati; Pseudomonadota; Gammaproteobacteria; Enterobacterales; Enterobacteriaceae. The record is from RNAcentral.